This 70-nucleotide transfer RNA is filed under the name Scolopsis ciliata. Its description in RNAcentral is "tRNA-Phe". The record is from RNAcentral. Lineage: Eukaryota; Metazoa; Chordata; Actinopteri; Spariformes; Nemipteridae. RNAcentral also lists the same sequence under 1 other name.
GCUCGCGUAGCUUAAAUUCAAAGCUUAAUACUGAAGAUGUUAGAAUGGACCCUAGAAAGUCCCGCAAGCA